GUAGGACAUCGGCAAACCCGGGGAAAUCCGGCGACGCAAAGCUAUAGGGACUGUAAAAUGUCAGCCAGCUGCAAUC
Molecule: non-coding RNA, 76 nt
Filed under: Oribacterium sinus
Lineage: Bacteria; Bacillati; Bacillota; Clostridia; Lachnospirales; Lachnospiraceae
Also listed under: 1 other name
Description: c-di-GMP sequence
Rfam family: c-di-GMP-I riboswitch aptamer
About the family: GEMM was predicted in a large-scale screen for bacterial structured RNA regulatory elements. Genes associated with GEMM are involved in a diverse array of functions, including chemotaxis regulation, signal transduction, secretion and chitin.
Source: RNAcentral